Molecule: ribosomal RNA, 1732 nt
Filed under: Scolopsis vosmeri (whitecheek monocle bream)
Lineage: Eukaryota; Metazoa; Chordata; Actinopteri; Spariformes; Nemipteridae
Description: 16S ribosomal RNA
Rfam family: Bacterial large subunit ribosomal RNA
Source: RNAcentral
CGCCCAUUAGCUAGCCUUAACCCCUAAAAACAACAAACCACAUUAAUAACCCCUCAACCCCUAAACACAACAAAACAAAUCAUUUUCCCCUCUUAGUAUGUGCGACAGAAAAGAGUCAUUUGAGCAAUAGAAAAAGUACCGCAAGGGAACGCUGAAAGAGAAAUGAAAUAACUCAGUAAAGCAUAAAAAAGCAAAGAUUAUUUCUUGUACCUUUUGCAUCAUGAUUUAGCCAGUACCCACCAAGCGAAGCGCCCUUUAGUUUGGAACCCCGAAACUAAGUGAGCUACUUCAGGCCAGCCUAUAAUAGGGCCAACCCGUCUCUGUGGCAAAAGAGUGGGAAGAGCCUCAAGUAGAGGUGAAAGAUCUACCGAACUUAGUAAUAGCUGGUUGCCUGGGAAAUGGAUAGAAGUUCAGCCUGUUGAAUUUUCUUCUCUCACAACCAAAUUUUGGCGUUGUUGUCUAACCAUAGGCAUCAUAAUCUGUCGUUAACACCAAGAGCUAAAAGAAAUCAACAGAGUUAGUCAAAGGGGGAACAGCCCCUUUGACACAAGACACAACUUUUCUAGGAGGAUAAAGAUCAUAAUAUAAUCUAAGGGCAAAAUAUUCUGGUGGGCUUAAUAGCAGCCAUCCACUAAGGAAAGCGUUAAAGCUCGAAUAACUCCCGUCGACCUAAAAAUUCAGAUCAAAAAAUCUUAAACCCCGGACCCUACCAGGCCGCUCUACAACACUGUAGAAGAGAUAAUGCUAAUAUGAGUAAUAAGAGGGACCCCUCUCCCUGCACAAGUGUAAAUCGGAACGGAAUAACCACCGAAACUUAACGGCCCCAAACAUAGAGGGAAGUGAAUUAAUGAUUUUCCAAGAAAACAUUUCAUUCUUUACCGUUAACCCCACACUGGAAUGCCCCAAGGGAAAGACUAAAAGAAAAAGAAGGAACUCGGCAAACACAUUUAAGCCUCGCCUGUUUACCAAAAACAUCGCCUCUUGCAAAACAAGAAUAAGAGGUCCCGCCUGCCCAGUGACUUUAUGUUCAACGGCCGCGGUAUCCUGACCGUGCCAAGGUAGCGCAAUCACUUGCCCUUUAAAUGGGGGCCCGUAUGAAUGGCACCACGAGGGCUAAUCUGUCUCCUUUUUCAGGUCAAUGAAAUUGAUCUCCCCGUGCAGAAGCGGGGAUGCCUACAUAAGACGAGAAGACCCUGUGGAGCUUUAGACUUUAAGAUCGGUCCCGCACCCGCCCUAAUAAACACUGGGCCAAGCAAAGGAACUCGAUCUGACUGUCUUUGGUUGGGGCGACCGCGGGGAUUAACAAAACCCCCACGUAGACCGGAAGCAUAAUGCAUCCAAAACCAAGAGUUACCACUCUAACACAACAGAACUUCUGACUUUAACGUGAUCCGACAAAGUCGAUCAACGAACCGAGUUACCCCAGGGAUAACAGCGCAAUCCCCUCUAAGAGUUCACAUCGACGAGGGGGUUUACGACCUCGAUGUUGGAUCAGGACAUCCCAAUGGCGUAGCAACUAUUAAGGGUUCGUUUGUUCAACGAUUAAAGUCCUACGUGAUCUGAGUUCAGACCGGAGUAAUCCAGGUCAGUUUCUAUCUAUGCUAUGUUUCCUUCUAGUACGAAAGGACCGAAGCAAAGGGGCCUAUUCCUUAGGAACGCCUCAUCCAAGAUUGAUGAAACCAACUAAAUUAGACAACAGGGCAUGACCCCUUUGUCAAAGAAAUAUGACACU